AUCAUGCCGCGUGAGUGAUGAAGGCCUUAGGGUUGUAAAGCUCUUUUACCUGGGAAGAUAAUGACUGUACCAGGAGAAUAAGCCCCGGCUAACUUCGUGCCAGCAGCCGCGGUAAUACGAAGGGGGCUAGCGUUGUUCGGAAUCACUGGGCGUAAAGCGCUCGUAGGCGGAUCUUUAAGUCAGAGGUGAAAUCCCAAGGCUCAACCUUGGAACUGCCUUUGAUACUGGGGAUCUCGAGUCCGGGAGAGGUGAGUGGAACUGUGAGUGUAGAGGUGAAAUUCGUAGAUACUCGCAAGAACACCAGUGGCGAAGGCGGCUCACUGGCCCGGUACUGACGCUGAGGAGCGAAAGCGUGGGGAGCAAACAGGAUUAGAUACCCUGGUAGUCCACGCCGUAAACGAUGGAUGCUAGCCGUUGGACAGCUUGCUGUUCCGUGGCGCAGUUAACGCUUUAAGCAUCCCGCCUGGGGAGUACGGUCGCAAGAUUAAAACUCAGGGGAAUUGACGGGGGG
Molecule: ribosomal RNA, 511 nt
Filed under: uncultured bacterium
Lineage: Bacteria
Description: bacterial SSU rRNA
Rfam family: Bacterial small subunit ribosomal RNA
Source: RNAcentral